Molecule: long non-coding RNA, 12174 nt
Filed under: Triticum aestivum (bread wheat)
Lineage: Eukaryota; Viridiplantae; Streptophyta; Magnoliopsida; Poales; Poaceae
Description: long non-coding RNA (TAES_LNC003149)
Source: RNAcentral
UAAAAUAAUGGAAACACCUCACAUUUAAUUUUUAUUAUAGCAAAUAGCAUUUGACCAUGCACAACAAAAUAUUCUCCAAAUCUUCAUAUGUUCUACAAAUUUAUAAUCAUAUCUUGGUCUCAUUUCUUUCACAUAAAGUAAAUGCCAACUAAUGGCCAGCCAAGCAAAUUACACUUGUCCCUAGUACAGCCUACAAGAGACACAAGUGGAGGCAUGCAUGUAAGCCUAACCACACAUGCAUGCCAGAUGUAAUGCCUCUCCAAACCGACAUAGCUACUAACCCCACUACAAAUAGGAGCCGUUCCUUUCACUAUGGUCCAUUCCACCUCACACACACACACACUGGAGUACCCCCACCACUUGCCUUUUCACCUUCUGCCACACUGCUGUCCUUCACUGCGGUGAAGCCCUUUGGAUUGCAUGCACCACCAGGUACUAAUCAAGUACCUUGUUGUGUUACCCUUUUUGCUUGAAUUCUUAUGUAUCUUCAUCUCGGUUUGAAUCAGUCCAUGAGCAUCUAUUCACCUUGAUCUAUUUACCUUGCUGUAAAAAGAACAAAAUGUUUGCAUAAACACCCAAGUUAAUCAAAACUAAUUAGAUCAAUUGCAAAAGCUUGUAAAAGUUUCUGUGAAUGACAUCUACGGCUCGUACUAGAUCUAACAUGCCAAGAAUCAAAUCCUAAGUACUAGAUCUAACAUGCCAAGAAUCAAAUCCUAAGUACUAGUAACUUGCUAAGACAUGUAUGUGUGUAUCCAAAAGAUGAAUCUUCCUGUGUAUACUACCUUGUUCUAAUUAUUAAUCCCCGCCAAUGUAUAGAAAACAUUGAAUGAUUGAUGUUUAUAAUCUACUCACAAGUAAUUAAUUUUGGAGCUUCACUGCCACUAUUUGCUUCUAUAUGGUGUUCAAGGAUGAGUAGCACUAGUUAGGAACAACAUUUAGAUCUAAUCAGUAGCAAUACCAUGACCACGCCAUAGAUUAAAUCUUGACUAAUUUCAUGGCCUUGAGAUAAACAAAGAGAAAGAAGGCAAUAUGGCUGAGUGGGCAAUAGUAGGGCCUGAGAUAAAAUGAACAAUAUAUGCACACCCACAUUGACAUCUAGCAAGCACUUGAUGUAAAAUUUGGAACACUUGAUGUAGAAGGAAUCAAAAUUACUCCCUCCGUUUCUAAAUACUUGUCUUUCUAGAGAUUUCAACAAGUGACUACAUACGGAGCAAAAUGAGUGAAUCUACAUUCUAAAAUAUGUUUAUAUACAUCCGUAUGUGGUAACCAUUUGAAAUUCCUAGAAAGGCAAAUAUUUAGAAACGAAAAGAGUAGUAUUUACCAGUAGUAGCAGUAGGAUGUGGCUAGUCCACACCGUUAGCAGCAGAGCCAUGCGACCGAGCAGCGCCGGUGAAGCCGCACACGCCCGACGCCCCUGGCUGCACGCCUCCUGCGUGUGGCUGCGCUUUGGGAGGAUGUAGGCAUGGAGAUGUCGUUGCCGCUCCAGCCGGUGGCAAGCCCACCGGACCUGAAUCAGGUGGUGCUAGGAUUGAGUGGUGGUGACGUUUUUGGUGGCGGCGGAUAAAAUAAAUAGGAGGAAAUGGUUGAGGGAGACGAGGAGAAUCUGUAGGUGUCCACCGUGUCGCCGGAGAUGACCAGAUGUGGCAGAUCGAGGAGGCGGCGGCCAUGCUCUGUUCUUGGGGAGAGAGAGAGAGAGGUGGGUGGCUGGUUCUGUUCUUGGGAUAGCAGAGAAGACGAGGAGAGAAACGAGCUGGGUUCAAUGAGUAAAAUACUAGUAGUGCAGUACUAGGCUACUGUUUCCUUUUUACUUAUCUUUUUUUACUCUCUGGGCUGGAUGGCAUACGUGCAUGCUACUCUGAUUUGGAUGGCUUGAUGCAUUUUAUCUCUCAAUGAAACACUAGGAUGUACGACAACCUAGUUAAUUAAUUAUGGCUUGCCCAACAUGACCGUGUUGCUGGAUCUUUAGAUUUAAAAUUAGGAAAUAUAAACAUGUUUGUGAAAUAAUUAUCAGGAGCCGAUCUCGGAUCCGUAGGAGCCACGUCCGGUGGUUCCGAGUUGGUCGAAGCACUAUUCGGCAAGUCGUCAUCUCCUUGACCAUGUCUUGAUAAAUGUUUUCCGGGCUAUGGGUCAUUUCCAAAAUUUUGCAUAAGAAUUAAAAAUAAAUAUUUUCCAUAAAUAAAAUGAAAUUUGGAUCAGGUGGAUCCACUGAUUUGGCAAUUGGACCAGAUCAGGUGAAGCAUCUGUAUUAAGUAGUUGUGUCCCGGGUAGGGUUACAAUAUAAAUAAAUAUUUGGUGGGUAGGGGAGCUCAUGUUGGUGAAAGCAACCCAGGGAGGGUCGGCUUGGAUGGCGGGCUCAUCUACAUAGGGUAUCAUAUUAGGACACAACCAACUGGCGCUUACUUCAAAAGUGGCGCAAACCGUACUGACCAUAGACCUGGAAUGGGAUGGGCUGAACCAACUACCCAUGCCAAGUAGCUGCCUCUGCAUGGGUGAGAAGGUGGCUGUAGCCGGGUAGGUACAGUCACCCUAGGGCGAGACCGCCGGUCAGGGGUCUCGACCCGCGGUCCUUUAGUAAGGCAAGGUGGAAAAGCAGAGGUAGUGUACGGGCUGGUUAAAGGUUCUGGUUCCAUGGUCUAGUCGUGUGCACGGGUAGCGCAUGGACGACUUGGACCAAGUGAUGCUAUGGGCAAAGCAGUACACCUCUGAUCAGAGUAAAUGUGAUAUCACUCCCAGCUUCCGGGUUUGGAAGUGCGUCGUGUGGGUUUUCCUCUCACACAAGAUUUAAGAUCCCACGUCGCUCUGUUGCCAGUAGAUUUUAUAAAUAAAAUUUGGUUUUCAACAAAAUGGGUUAAGGGAAAAUAUUUUUACCUACAAAGUAUUUUGAGUUAAUGGCUUGGUGGUUGUAGCCGUGGCCGAUAAAGUUUUUCCUCUUUAAAGACUCAUGCAUCCACUUUUCCCGGCGACUUGCGGAGUACGUAUUUUAUACGUACUCAGUUGCACUUAUGUUGUUUUCAGAACAAGAGAGUUAUGAGAACUCUGAGGCGAUAGAGAAUGGUACUUAUGAUGAGUCUGGUCAUCUUAAUGACUUCGGUUAUUCUGAAGUGGAGUAUGUUUACGAGGAAGUCAAUAAUCAAGGCUAUGAAGAGUAGAUGCCCUCCAUGGUUGGUCUAGAAGGCUCGUAACUAGAAGUGGAUGACGACCCAUCGUCAUGGUCGCUUAGGCUUAGUCGACGCUUGAGGUGUCAAUGUAAUAAAAGCUUGCCUACUCAUGGCUGCUGCACCGUCUUGUACAUGAUAUUGUUCUCCUUAACUGAUCCUGGUGCAACUCUGAAGUGACGGCUUCCGUUACGCUUGACUCUGUCGGACGUAACGGGGCAUCACAGAAGAGGUGGUAUCAGAGCCCCGUUAAGGAAACAGUCAUGUACUUAGUUAGAGACCGUCCGAGCCCAAGGAAAGAUAGGUUCGCUCCUUACCUAAAAUAAAAUAAGAGUUCUGAAAAGAAAAUCAUCCCUUCUCAAGUUCCACCUCUCCUAUGUAUAUAUACGUUUUGUGUAAAAAAUAUAUAACUCAAGUCAAGUGAAGAUUAAAUAAUUUAGACCACACAAUUGUGCAAGAAAAAUGUUUUUAUUUUUACUGUCCUAGGUAAAUUAAUUUUGCAUUGUGUUAUAACUAACUAAAUUCUUAAUUGCUUAAUGUAGGAUGACGAGUGGUAGGUUGUUUGGUACGGAUGCUGAGUAUGGUGGUUUUGCUCUGUUCUUGGUUAAGCUUCUUGGUCUUCUGGGUGUGUUGAUUGCACCAUACUACAUAGUGUUUCAUGACCCGUGUUUCACGACCCGUGUUCCACGGGGUACUUAGUCACGGUGCACAUUCCUGAGAGCUUAGAUGUCCCUUCUAGGUCAGUGUUGCACGUUAUGACUUUGUUUCAGCACUUCAGGGUGCGGCACCAGAUGCCGCUUUACACCUUUUCCACGUCUAUCACCCUCUCCUUGAGUACGUGGGCAGAGGCGAGUGGCCUCAUCAGUUAGAGGAGGCAGUGACCUCUUCCCAUUGUCGCUCCUUCGCCUUUUGCGUCCACUUCCGCUUUCCCUCCACUUCCACCACGUCCUCCUGUCUUACCACCCACAUUUUUACCACCACCAGCUCCGACUGCCGCUCGUCCACCUCUGUUCCUGACGGUUCCACCCACUCGUGUAGGCCGCCCAGCUCCUAGAGUCUUCAGGGGUUCCUCCUCUCGAGCAGUGUCACGUCCCUCCACACCGUACGAGCGUCCACCUACACCUCACAUUGUUCAGGACCUGUUAGAUCAGGUUGACACUCUUCAGAGGCGCUGCUCCGAGCUCGAGCGGGCGAAUAGCGAGAUGUCCUCUGCGUUGAGGGACUACACCCGUCCAGGUAUGGCCCUCAACCCUCUUUAGAUCGACAGCUCACCUUCCGCCUCUCUAGGCCAGAUAGGGUACCCGAUUGACCAGGAGUCUCCUGUCGCCGCCGAGCCUUCCUCUCAGGUUGCUCCUACCCUGAGUUCCGUUGUAGUGCCACCACCUCUAGAGCACACUCCCCACACUCCACCAGGUUCUCCGCCCUUCGUCCCUGCUCCACCUUCUCCUGAUGGCACCCCCGAGUUUUCAGUGAUCGGCGUCACUUACUCAGAGCUUCUAGCACUUGACUCCCGCCAGGUGUCUUCUCAGCCCACAGAGUACCUCGUGUCGCUUCUGACGUCACUCCCUCUGAGCACACUCCUUCCGAGUACCUGCUUAGCACCAUCAGUGUACCCGAGUCUGAUGUUGCUGCACCGAGUGUGUCUCUGUCAGCGCCGACUUCUGCCCUCGACCCCGACUUGCUCCUCACCGUUUCAUCUAGUACUCUUGUCAGGGAGGAUUGACUUGCUACCAGUAGUAGUAGUAGUUAGUAUUCUGGCAAGGUUGUAGCAUCGUGCUAGAUAGCUACUCCUCCCAGAGUUAGUUCCGCCAUUUAUUAGAUGUUUAGGCAGAUGCAUGGAGGUUGUCCUUUUGGAUCUUGUACAUAUCUGGAAAGGUCUUGGGGCCGUAGCUACCCUUCCACAGUUUGCACAGCUGUAGUUAGUCAGACUAGUUCCGACGGACAGAUAGGUCGGCAGGUAUACUUUUGUUCCAGGUACACGUGUAGAUAGCCGUGGUAGCCUGAUGAUGCAUGACAUAGAGUCAUAUGUGGUGUUGUUACUAUGUUAUGUGAUGUAUCCAUGUGGACUGGUGGACUUAUGGAUGUACUGAUAUUCUAUUACUAGAUGAUCUCGUGUGAUGCAUGUGCCAUGCCUCCAUGUUCAUUUUUUUAUUUUUUUAUGCAUUCCUAACUCUGUUGAAUAGAAUAUUGUAUGUGAUGAUGCUGCUACAUUUUUGCUAGUACUUCAUAAUGACAUCUGAUGUAUGGUAAAUUUCAUUUGGUGAUCUCCUUCACUCAAUUACAUGCCUUGAUACAUCACGUGUUGGGCCAGUAUAUAUGUGCUGAUGCUGCUACAUUUUUCCUAGCACUUCAUAAGUUAAAAUGAUGUAUGUCCGACACGUGAUGACUAUAUGCUUUUAGUCAUGUACGUGAAGAUCUUGUGUGUGGGCGUGCAUGUGCAAGUGGCUCUAUUUUUUUAACUUAUGAUUAAUCUCUUGUCUCUGCUAUGAUAAAAAAAAUCACUUUGUCUGACUGUAUUUAUUCUUUGGCCAACAACCAGUAAAAAAAUCUAGUACCCCACAGUUAAGUGCACUGAUUAAAGUGAUGCUCAAAGAAUAGCAAAUGAAGGUAAGCGUGAUGCGUACUGUUUGAGCUAAAAUCUCAUCACUAAUUAAACAAAUAAAAUUAUUUUACAUAAAGUAGCUAUCGUAAUAACCUAUGUCUUGCCCACCAGUUUGGUAGCGAUGGCAUCUGGUAGCCAGUCGUUCGAAGACAAUGGGAACCCAUCAGAUUUAGCCCGAGUCGCUAAGGAACAUGGCAGAUUUGCCAUCUAGAGUGACGUUACCUCCACUGCCACCAUUACCCGCUCAUGCCCUGGGAUCCGAUCAACUUGCUCUAAUGUACCAGUGGAUGGAGCAUUCUCGUCGAGACUCUCUAGAACACCAAAAUAAGUUCAUAGAACAGAUGUUUGGUAUGAUGAGAGGUCAACUGACUAAAAACUCAGAACAUAGUGUCACGAUUGGAGACUUCCAAAAUACUAGACCACCAACCUUUUCAACUGCCAUAGAUCCAUUAGCCGCAGAUGAUUGGUUGAUGGACAUAGAGCUUAAACUUAACACUGUGAGAUGCACGGAUCAAGAAAAGGUUCGGUAUGCAUCCCAUCAGUUAAUUGGUCCUGCUGCCACAUGGUGGAGAAAUGUCCAAAUUAGCAUACCAGAAAACCACAUAGUCACUUGGGACGAAUUUAAGAGGAGAUUCCGAGAUAACUAUGUCCAGCAAAGUGCGAUGGAAAUAAAAAGGAAGGAAUUCCUGAACCUUAAUCAAGGGUCUAAAACCAUCGCAGAGUACCUAGAUGAAUUUAACUCACUAUCCCGCUAUGCAUCAGAGGACACAAACACUGAUACCAAAAAGGUGUACCGGAUCAUAGAAGGACUGAACCCAUCCAUACAACUUAUUAUAGCUCCUAUAAAAAUAACUGAGUUCCGGGAGCUAGUAGACCGAGUCAUUACAAUCGAGAACCAGCAAAUCAUCGUAGAGGAAGAGCGCAGGAAGAAAGAUAGGAUGGAACCAAGGUUUGCCGUGAGAAGUGGAAAUCGUCCUGUUGGCCUAGUCCGCGUGCCAAUGGUCGGGCCCAUCCGUCCUCCUUUCUGUAAAGCUCAUAGACCACCUUUUAUGCCUCCGAGAGCCCCUAUCAAAUGUCACGUGUGCAGUGGACCACACUUGGCUCGAGAUUGCCCAAAGGCGAGUGUUGUUUGUUUUUGUUGUGGACAAAAGGGACACUACAAAAACCAGUGCCCAAGCAAGAGUCAACCACAAUCUGGCACAAAUGGAGCUGUCCCACCUCAAAAUAAGCGUCAGGCUAAUUCAGCCCAAGUACACGGGAAUGCGUUUACUGCCAACCGCGGGCGUGGUCAUGGCGGUCUCACACGUGGACCAUUCCGCCUGGCACAUAUGGAUGUGGCACAAGUGGAGUCAGCUUCAGACAGAGUGACGGGUAACCUACUAAUCCCUCCUAGAGUAGGACUAGUAUUGUUUGACCCAGGAGAAACAUAUUCUUUCAUAUCACAACGCUUUGUUGAGACGCAUAAUCUGGACCGGACCCCCCUAGCCAAACCCAUAAAAGUAGAUUCACCAGGAGGCCCAAUAAUUGUUGAGCAUGUUUGCCACAACCGUCCCUUUUGCAUUGAGGGCAUAACCUUUAAUGCUAGCCUAUUUAUCAUUGGCCUAAUAGGGCUAGACGUUAUUCUUGGAAUGGACUGGUUAGCGAGUCAUGGAGCAAGAAUGGAUUGUCCAGAAAAUCCAUAUCCUUGAGAAGCCCAGAAAAUAAAUGGAUAACCUUUAAUAGUAGAAGAACCCGAGCAAAAUCAAACCAAGCCUCAGUAGCCACUUUGGACAAAAACGAGGCUAAAGAUGUACCCAUGGUACAAGAAUUUUUGGACGUAUUUCCAGAAGAAUUACCCGGGAUGCCACCAGACACGGAGAUAGAGUUCACUAUUGAUAUCAUCCCAGGUACGGCACCCAUAUCAAAACGAGCAUACCGUAUGUCUGCGGAAGAACUAAAGGAAUUAAGAAAACAAUUGGAUGAACUAGAAGAAAAGGGGUUUAUUAGACCAAGUGUGUCACCUUGGGCAGCACCAGUCUUAUUCGUUAAGAAAAAGGACGAAAGUAUGAGGCUAUGUGUGGAUUAUCGAGCCUUGAAUGAGGCGACCAUUAAGAAUAAGUACCCACUACCAUGACUAGAUGAUCUAUUUGAUCAAUUGAAAGGAGCCACUGUGUUCUCAAAAAUAGAUCUCCGAUCUGGGUACCACCAACUAAAAGUAAAGGAAGAAGAUAUAAUUAAGACUGCUUUCAUAACCCGAUAUGGUCACCAUGAAUUCAUGGUUAUUCCCUUUGGGCUCACAAAUGCACCAGCAGUUUUCAUGAACCUGAUGAACCUAGUCCUCAUGCCAUAUUUAGAUAAGUUUGUGGUAGUGCUCAUCAAUGACAUCCUCAUAUACUCUCGAAGUAUUGAGGAAUAUGUUGAACACCUCCGAAUAGUGCUACGGACCUUGAGCGAAAAACAACUCUAUGCCAAAUUCAAAAAGUGUGAAUUUUGGCUAGAAGAAGUGUCCUUCUUAGGACACAUUAUAUCAGGGAAAGGGAUAGUCGUAGAUCCUGCUAAAGUAGAUGCAGUGUUGGCAUGGAAAUCCCGAACCAACGUAACAGAGAUUCAUAGCUUCCUUGGUUUAGCUGGAUAUUAUCGAAGGAUCAUAGAAGGCUUCUCCCAGAAAGCAGCCCCUAUGACCAAAUUACUAAGUAAGGGAGUUCCAUUUGACUGGAAUGAUAAGUGUGAGCAAAGUUUUCAACAGUUAAAGAAACGGCUCACAACCGCUCCUGUAUUGGCUCUACCCGAACCAGGCAAAGCAUUCAUAGUAUAUUGUGAUGCCUCUAGAGUUGGUUUGGGAUGUGUGCUAAUGCAAGAUGGGAGAGCCAUAGCCUAUGCCUCUCGCCGGUUAAAGCCCCAUGAACAAAACUACCCCACCCAUGACCUCGACUUAGUUGUCAUGGUAUUUGCGUUGAAGAUGUGGAGGCACUACCUUUAUGGAAACCGUUUUGAACUAUACACGGACCAUAAAAGCCUCAAGUAUAUCUUCGCGCAAAAGGAGUUGAAUAUGAGACAAAGACGAUGGUUAGAACUCAUUAAGGAUUAUGACGUUAGUGUCAACUACCACCCAGGAAAAGCUAAUGUGGUGGCAGAUACCCUUAGCCGAAAAACCUCAUGCAAUCAUGUCAAGAUGCCAACCUAUGAUAAGCAUCUGAUACCUGAGCAGAAGAUGAUGGGAAUUGAAUUCAUACAUAAACCGGUUGAGAAAAUCCUAGCCACAUUAGCAAUCAGACCCAAUUUGUUGGACGAAAUCAAGGAAAACCAAACCAAAGAUGAGUUUAUUUGUGAGGAAAAGCGCAGAAUACAAGAUGGUCAAUCAUCAGAAUUCCGAAUAGCGGAAGACGGAUCACUUUGGUAUAAAACCCGAGUAUGUGUGCCAAAUAUCUUGGAUAUUAAGCAGAUAAUACUCCAGGAGGUACACAACACUCCGUACACCAUACACCCUGGUAGCACAAAAAUGUACCGGGAUGUCAAGGAUACAUUUUGGUGGAGAAAUAUAAAAAGAGAAAUUGCUCAGUAUGUGGACGCGUGUGACACUUGUAAGAGAGUCAAGGCAGAUCACCAGCGACCACCAGGCUUAUUGCAACCUCUCCAAAUUCCACAAUGGAAAUGGAAGGAAAUCCACAUGGACUUUAUCACUGGACUGCCCAAAACAACAAAAUGAGAGGAGAUCAUAUGGGUCAUAGUUGACCGACUCACUAAAUCUGCCCAUUUUAUCCCUUUAGCCCCGGGUUGUUCCAGAGAAAAAUUGGCUGAGCUAUAUAUCCACAGGAUAGUAGCUCUACAUGGGACACCUUCCAGAAUAGUGUCAGAUCUAUGUUUGCAUCCAAGUUCUGGGAAAAAUUACAAGAAGCAUUAGGAACAAAAUUGGAUUUUAGUACCGCUUACCACCCCCAGACUAGCGGUCAAGUCGAGAGGGUGAAUAAAAUCAUAGAGGACAUGCUAAGGGCUUGUGUGCUAGAUUUUGGUGAUUCAUGGAGCAAGCACUUGUCCUUAGCAGAGUUCGCUUAUAACAAUAGCUACCAAGCUAGUAUUGGUAUGUCCCCAUUUGAGGCCUUAUACGGUCGAAGAUGCCGAACCCCAAUAUGUUGGGUGGAAACCGGAGAAAAGAAACUCUUAGCACCCGACUUGGUCCAAGAGACCGAGGAAAAAGUUCGCAUAAUUAGAGAGCGGCUCAAGACGGCGCAAAGCCGGCAAAAUAGUUGUGCGGAUAAGAGACGAUGUGAUAUACAAUGUCAACCCGGAGACUUUGUUUAUUUAAAAGUCUCACCAAUUAAAGGUGUCAAGCGCUUUGGAGUACAAGGAAAACUAAGUCCGCGAUAUAUUGGUCCCUAUCGGAUCUUAAAAAGAAGAGGGGCGGUGGCGUACAAAUUAGAAUUGCCAACGCACCUAUAAGGGGUUCAUGACGUAUUUCAUGUUUCCCAAUUAAGCAAGAGCGUAAAGUCACCAUUUGAGAGAGUCUCGGAGGAAAAAUUAACCCUCCGAAAGGACUUAACGUAUGAGAAGCAUCCUAGUCGUAUUCUGGACACCGAGGAAAAGAAACUCAAGAGUAAAACAACCUAAAUAUUGCAAGGUGCAAUGGGGAAAUCAUCCGGUGCGAGAAGCGACUUGGGAAAAAGAGGAUGAGCUUCGAGAAAAAUAUCCUUACCUUUUCAAGGUGCAACUUAAAUUUCAAGGACGAAAUUUUCUCUAAGGGGGAUAGGAUGUAAGAACCGUCAAAAUUAGAUAACGAUAAUUUCAACGGUGUUGCCCAAACAUUAAUUAAAAUAAUGGAAACACCUGACAUAUAAUUUUUAUUAUAGGAAAUAGCAUUUGACCAUGCACAACAAAAUAUUUUUCAAACCUUCAUAUGUUCUACAAAUUUAUAAUCAAAUCUUGGUCUCAUUUUUUCACAUAAAGUAAAUGUCAACUAAUGGCUAGCCAAGCAAAUUACACUUGUCCCUAAUACAGCCUACAAGAGACACAAGUGGAGGCAUGCAUGCUAGCCUAACCACUCAUGCAUGCCAGAUGUAAUGCCUCUCCAAACCGACAUAGCUACUAACCCCACUAUAAAUAGGAGCCGUUCCUUUCACUAUGGUCCAUUCCACCUCACACACAAACACAUACACUGGAGUACCCCCACCACUUGCCUUUUCACCUUCUGCCACACUGUUGUCCUUCACUGCAAUGAAGCCCUUUGGGUUGCAUGCGUCACCAGGUACUAAUGAAGUACCUUGUUGUGUUACCCUUUUUGCUUGACUUCUUAUCUAUCUUCACCUUGGUUUGAAUCAGUCCAUGAGCAUCUAUUCACCUUGAUCUAUUUACCUUGCUGUAAAAAGAACAAAAUAUUUGCGUAAACACCCAAGUUAAACAAAACUAAUUAGAUCAAUCGCAAAAGCUUGUAAAAGUUUCUGUGAAUGACAUCUACAGCUGGUACUAGAUCUAACAUGCCAAGAAUCAAAUCCUAAGUACUAGUAACUUGCUAAGACAUGUAUGUGUGUAUCCAAAAGAUCAAUCUUCCUGUGUAUACCUUGUUUGAAUUAUUAAUCCCCGCCAAUCUGUAGCAAACAUUGAGUGAUUGAUGUUUAUAAUCUACUCACAAGUAAUUAAUUUUGGAGUUUCACUGCCAUUAUUUGCUUCUAUAUGGUGUUCAAGGAUGAGUAGCACUAGUUAGGAACAACAUUUAGAUCUAAUCAGUAGCAAUACCAUGACCACGCCAUAAAUUAAAUCUUGAUUAAUUUUGUAGCCUUGAAAUAAACAAAGAGAAAGAAGGCAAUAUGGCUGAGUGGGCAAUAGUAGGGCCUGAGAUAAAAUGAACAAUAUAUGCACACCCACGUUGACAUCUAGCAAGCACUUGAUGUGAAAUUUGGAACACUUGAUGGAGAAGGAAUCAGAAUUAGUACUUACCAGUAGUAGCAGUAGGAUGUGGCUAGUCCACACCGUUAGCAGCAAAGCCAUGCGACCGAGCAGCGUCGGUGAAGCCGCACACGCCCGACGCCCGUGGCCGCAAGCCUCGUGCGUGUGGCUGCGCUAGGGGAGGAUGUACGCAUGGAGACAUCGUUGCCGCUGCAGCCGGUGGCAAGCCCACCGGACCUGAAUCAGGCAGCGCUAGGAUUAAGUGGUGGCGACAUUUUUGGCGGCGGCCGAUAAAAUAAAUAGGGGGAAAUGGUAGAGGGGGAUGAGGAGAAUCUGUAGGUGUCCACCGUGUCGCGGGAGAUGCCCGGAUGGGGCAGAUCAAGGCGGCGGCGACCAUGCUCUGUUCUUGGGGAGAGAGAGAGAGGUGGGUGGCUGGUUCUGUUCUUGGGAUAGUAGAGAAGACGAGGAGAGAAACGAGCUGGGUUCAACGAGUAAAAUACUAGUAGUGCAGUACUAGGCUACUGUUUCCUUUUUACUUAUUUUUUUUACUCUCUGGACUGG